GGAGAAAAGGUGAAGGGAGAUGCAGCUCCUGGAGAAAUUGUAAAAAGCCUUGCAAAGAGUUGUCGGAAGGACCGUUAUUCCUGCUGGGCAGCGAGAGGAGAGACCCUGCAACACACGCCACCUAUCUUUGUGGGGAGGGAUAAUUGGAGAGCACCAAACAUAUGGAUCAGGGGUGAGAUGGGCUCUUUUCCUGGCUCUGCUCUUCCUUGGAAGUAGCUGAAUGAGCAGAGAGACAGCGUGGACAAGUAACGCGUGGGACUGAACUUCGGGGAGGUUACAAGUUUUUCACCUUUUUCAAUGGGAGAACAGCAUCCACAGGACCCCGAACCUCUUCUCACACGGGGCAGUGAGCAACAAGCAUCCUCCAUCUGCUGUCCCGCACCGUGAGCUGGAGAUGCUUUUUCCUUCUCUUCUGGGAUCAGUGCUGAAGUUCGACCACAUUUCUUGGCUCAGUUGGCAGUGAUUAAAAUUCACGGCUCACUUUUGUUUAUAGUUGGUUGUUUACUUUGUUG
Molecule: long non-coding RNA, 512 nt
Organism: Empidonax traillii (willow flycatcher)
Lineage: Eukaryota; Metazoa; Chordata; Aves; Passeriformes; Tyrannidae
Exons: 4
Source: RefSeq, a predicted model, not a curated record